CAGCAGAUAUCUACGCGUCCUGUUGUCUGCUUUAACUUCCUCACUGAUAUGUUUAUAAAAUCAACGUGAAGCGUGCCUGCUACGCUGUGAAAGAAUUAUAUUUGAUCAAAUAUAACCCGGUGCUUGAAUAUUAACGUUACUCUUAAACUAUCUUAACAAAGGAGGACAACACAUUUCAAGAUGAAGUAUCAAGUACUGUUAGUUCUAAUUUUGCUGGCGAGCCUUCAGAACCCCUUAUGUUCGACGGAAACCACUACUGAAUCUACUUCAACGACGACAUCAACUACACCCACUACAUCUUCUACAUUUGCUACAACAACUACACGUUCGACAUCUACUUCUUCUUCUACACCUACGACAAGAACUUCAUCAAACAAAACAAACGCAUCUCAAGCUCCGGAAACCAGUGGCGCCAGUAGUGUUGACGCAAUCCCGUUCACGUUUGUCCUUCUGUCCGCGAUCAUUGCAAUGAGAGCUUAACUGUCUUAAGAUUUGUAUUAGUUGCAUUGAUUCAAACUGUUAAUCCGUCUUACAACUAUGCGACAACUGGAUUGUUCAAUACUCUCGUUCGACUUUUGUGACAAUGUAUUACACAGUCUUCAUGAUCCGUACACUCUACUGUUUUUUGUUGUAUUGACCAAAAUAGCCAAAAUGCAAAUUAUCUAUACAGUAAUACACAUGAUGUGUAAAUAAAGAAUUUGUAAACGCUAAAAACCAUAUUAAGCUGGUGGAAUAUUACCUCAGCCAUCAACAAGUUGCUUUCAAUCAAUGUUUCCCUGUUAUUGUAUAUUGUGUAUGAUAGUCUGUAAUGUUGUUUGCUUUCCUGAAAACGUGUAUAUCUAGGACGAAAGGUAAAUUUCGAAAAAAAUUCUCUACUGAAAAUAAUGUUAAAUUGUUUUUAUGACUUUCUACCUGUAAUAGUUAACUCUUUUAAGUUUUGAUGAAGCGGCAGGCAACAUGAUUUAUCUCAAUAAAUGUGAUAGUCUUAUAAAGCUUA
This is a long non-coding RNA of Dreissena polymorpha, 997 nucleotides long. RefSeq lists it as uncharacterized. The record is from RefSeq and is a predicted model, not a curated record. Lineage: Eukaryota; Metazoa; Mollusca; Bivalvia; Myida; Dreissenidae. The transcript has 4 exons.